ACGCUGGGCGGCGUGCUUACACAUGCAAGUCGAGCGGUAAGGCCCUUCGGGGUACACGAGCGGCGAACGGGUGAGUAACACGUGGGUGAUCUGCCUCGUACUCUGGGAUAAGCCUGGGAAACUGGGUCUAAUACCGGAUAUGACCACAUGUCGCAUGGUGUGUGGUGGAAAGAUUUAUCGGUGCGAGAUGGGCCCGCGGCCUAUCAGCUUGUUGGUGGGGUAACGGCCUACCAAGGCGACGACGGGUAGCCGACCUGAGAGGGUGAUCGGCCACACUGGGACUGAGACACGGCCCAGACUCCUACGGGAGGCAGCAGUGGGGAAUAUUGCACAAUGGGCGGAAGCCUGAUGCAGCGACGCCGCGUGCGGGAUGACGGCCUUCGGGUUGUAAACCGCUUUCGACAGGGACGAAGCGUGAGUGACGGUACCUGUAGAAGAAGCACCGGCCAACUACGUGCCAGCAGCCGCGGUAAUACGUAGGGUGCGAGCGUUGUCCGGAAUUACUGGGCGUAAAGAGCUUGUAGGCGGUCUGUCGCGUCGAUUGUGAAAUCUUGCAGCUCAACUGCAAGUCUGCAGUCGAUACGGGCAGACUAGAGUACUUCAGGGGAGACUGGAAUUCCUGGUGUAGCGGUGAAAUGCGCAGAUAUCAGAGGAACACCGGUGGCGAAAGCGGGUCUCUGGGAAGUAACUGACGCUGAGAAGCGAAAGCGUGGGUAGCGAACAGGAUUAGAUACCCUGGUAGUCCACGCCGUAACGGUGGGUACUAGGUGGUGGGUUUCCUUCCACGGGAUCCGUGCCGUAGCUACGCAUUAGUACCCCGCCAGGGGAGUACG
Molecule: ribosomal RNA, 833 nt
Filed under: Nocardia mexicana
Lineage: Bacteria; Bacillati; Actinomycetota; Actinomycetes; Mycobacteriales; Nocardiaceae
Description: bacterial SSU rRNA
Rfam family: Bacterial small subunit ribosomal RNA
Source: RNAcentral